AUUAUGGCUCAGGACGAACGCUGGCGGCGUGCCUAAUACAUGCAAGUCGAACGGUCUUUUCUAUGGAAGCUUGCUUCCACUGAGAAGAUAGUGGCGAACGGGUGAGUAACACGUGGGGUAACCUGCCCAUAAGAGGGGGAUAACAUCCGGAAACGGGUGCUAAUACCGCAUAGUUUUCUUGAUCGCAUGAUCGGGAAAGGAAAGACGGCCUUUGUGCUGUCGCUUAUGGAUGGACCCGCGGCGUAUUAGUUAGUUGGUGAGGUAACGGCUCACCAAGACGAUGAUACGUAGCCGACCUGAGAGGGUGAUCGGCCACAUUGGGACUGAGACACGGCCCAAACUCCUACGGGAGGCAGCAGUAGGGAAUCUUCCGCAAUGGACGAAAGUCUGACGGAGCAACGCCGCGUGAGUGAAAGAAGGUUUUCGGAUCGUAAAACUCUGUUGUCAGAGAAGAACAAGUUGGAGAGUAACUGCUCCAGCCUUGACGGUAUCUGACCAGAAAGCCACGGCUAACUACGUGCCAGCCGCCGC
This 531-nucleotide ribosomal RNA is filed under the name uncultured bacterium. RNAcentral describes it as "bacterial SSU rRNA". It matches the Rfam family "Bacterial small subunit ribosomal RNA", at positions 16 to 518 of the family's 1533-position model. The record is from RNAcentral.